This 377-nucleotide unclassified non-coding RNA is filed under the name uncultured Parachlamydiaceae bacterium. RNAcentral describes it as "contains 16S-23S intergenic spacer region". The record is from RNAcentral. Lineage: Bacteria; Pseudomonadati; Chlamydiota; Chlamydiia; Parachlamydiales; Parachlamydiaceae.
UCCUGGUUAACCCAGGCAGUCUCAUUAGAGUUCCCACCUUAAAUGUUGGCAACUAAUGAUAAGGGUUGCGCUCGUUGCGGGACUUAACCCAACACCUCACGGCACGAGCUGACGACAGCCAUGCAGCACCUGUGCAGCGGUCCUUUCGGAAGAUGACAUUUCUGCCACUGUCCCCUGCAUUUCAAGUCUGGGUAAGGUUCUUCGUGUACCAUCGAAUUAAACCACAUGCUCCACUGCUUGUGCGAGCCCCCGUCAAUUCUUUUGAGUUUCAGCCUUGCGACUGUACUCCCCAGGCGGUAUACUUAACGCGUUAGCUACGACACGACAGGGGUUGAGACCUAUCACAUCAAGUAUACAUCGUUUACGGCAAGGACUAC